This 500-nucleotide ribosomal RNA is filed under the name uncultured bacterium. RNAcentral describes it as "partial 16S ribosomal RNA". It matches the Rfam family "Bacterial small subunit ribosomal RNA", at positions 30 to 523 of the family's 1533-position model. The record is from RNAcentral.
AUUGAACGCUGGCGGCAGGCCUAACACAUGCAAGUCGAGCGGUAGAGAGAAGCUUGCUUCUCUUGAGAGCGGCGGACGGGUGAGUAAUGCCUAGGAAUCUGCCUGGUAGUGGGGGAUAACGUUCGGAAACGGACGCUAAUACCGCAUACGUCCUACGGGAGAAAGCAGGGGACCUUCGGGCCUUGCGCUAUCAGAUGAGCCUAGGUCGGAUGAGCUAGCUGGUGGGGUAAUGGCUCACCAAGGCGACGAUCCGUAACUGGUCUGAGAGGAUGAUCAGUCACACUGGAACUGAGACACGGUCCAGACUCCUACGGGAGGCAGCAGUGGGGAAUAUUGGACAAUGGGCGAAAGCCUGAUCCAGCCAUGCCGCGUGUGUGAAGAAGGUCUUCGGAUUGUAAAGCACUUUAAGUUGGGAGGAAGGGCAGUAAAUUAAUACUUUGCUGUUUUGACGUUACCGACAGAAUAAGCACCGGCUAACUCUGUGCCAGCCGCCGCAGUAA